AUUGAACGCUGGCGGCAUGCCUUACACAUGCAAGUCGAACGGCAGCACGGGGGCAACCCUGGUGGCGAGUGGCGGACGGGUGAGUAAUGCAUCGGAACGUGCCCUGAAGUGGGGGAUAACGCAGCGAAAGCUACGCUAAUACCGCAUAUUCUGUGAGCAGGAAAGCAGGGGAUCGCAAGACCUUGCGCUUUGGGAGCGGCCGAUGUCGGAUUAGCUAGUUGGUGGGGUAAAGGCCUACCAAGGCGACGAUCCGUAGCGGGUCUGAGAGGAUGAUCGCCACACUGGGACUGAGACACGGCCCAGACUCCUACGGGAGGCAGCAGUGGGGAAUUUUGGACAAUGGGCGAAAGCCUGAUCCAGCCAUGCCGCGUCGAGUGAAGAAGGCCUUCGGGUU
RNAcentral lists this ribosomal RNA (394 nucleotides) under uncultured bacterium. RNAcentral describes it as "bacterial SSU rRNA". It matches the Rfam family "Bacterial small subunit ribosomal RNA", at positions 29 to 424 of the family's 1533-position model. The record is from RNAcentral.